This 118-nucleotide ribosomal RNA is filed under the name Jaculus jaculus (lesser Egyptian jerboa). The record is from RNAcentral. Lineage: Eukaryota; Metazoa; Chordata; Mammalia; Rodentia; Dipodidae.
GUCUACAGCCAUACCACCCUGAAUGCACCCAAUCUUGUCCAUCUCAGAAGCUAAGCAGGGUCAGGCCUGGCUAGUACUUGGAUGGGAGACCGCCUGGGAAUACUGGGUGCUGUGAGCU